RNAcentral lists this ribosomal RNA (899 nucleotides) under human gut metagenome. RNAcentral's name for it is "bacterial SSU rRNA". It matches the Rfam family "Bacterial small subunit ribosomal RNA", at positions 8 to 904 of the family's 1533-position model. The record is from RNAcentral.
AGAGUUUGAUCCUGGCUCAGGAUGAACGCUGGCGGCGUGCCUAAUACAUGCAAGUCGAACGAAUCUUCUUCGGAAGAUGAGUGGCGAACGGGUGAGUAAUACAUAGGUAACCUGCCCCUGUGCGGGGGAUAACAGGAGGAAACUCCUGCUAAUACCGCAUAGCCAUGAGCACCGCAUGGAGCUCAUGCCAAAUAUCCUUCACGGGAUAGCGCAGGGAUGGACCUAUGGCGCAUUAGCUAGUUGGCGGGGCAACGGCCCACCAAGGCAACGAUGCGUAGCCGGCCUGAGAGGGCGGACGGCCACAUUGGGACUGAGACACGGCCCAGACUCCUACGGGAGGCAGCAGUAGGGAAUUUUCGGCAAUGGGGGAAACCCUGACCGAGCAACGCCGCGUGAGCGAAGAAGGCCUUCGGGUCGUAAAGCUCUGUUGUAAAGGAAGAACGUCGGACACAGGAAAUGGUGUGCGAGUGACGGUACUUUACCAGAAAGCCACGGCUAACUACGUGCCAGCAGCCGCGGUAAUACGUAGGUGGCGAGCGUUAUCCGGAAUCAUUGGGCGUAAAGAGGGAGCAGGCGGCCGCAAGGGUCUGUGGUGAAAGACCGAAGCUAAACUUCGGUAAGCCAUGGAAACCGGGCGGCUAGAGUGCGGAAGAGGAUCGUGGAAUUCCAUGUGUAGCGGUGAAAUGCGUAGAUAUAUGGAGGAACACCAGUGGCGAAGGCGACGGUCUGGGCCGCAACUGACGCUCAUUCCCGAAAGCGUGGGGAGCAAAUAGGAUUAGAUACCCUAGUAGUCCACGCCGUAAACGAUGGUCACUAAGUGUCGGGGGUCAAACCCCGGUGCUGCAGUCAACGCAAUAAGUGACCCGCCUGAGUAGUACGUUCGCAAGAAUGAAACUCAA